Molecule: non-coding RNA, 23 nt
Filed under: Arabidopsis thaliana (thale cress)
Lineage: Eukaryota; Viridiplantae; Streptophyta; Magnoliopsida; Brassicales; Brassicaceae
Source: RNAcentral
GGUUUCGUGGUGUAGUUGGUUAU